Phrynosoma platyrhinos (Desert horned lizard) is the source of this 77-nucleotide non-coding RNA. The record is from the annotation of a GenBank genome assembly. NCBI's taxonomy places the organism in Eukaryota, Metazoa, Chordata, Lepidosauria, Squamata, Phrynosomatidae.
GAGCCUGUGCUGUGUAGUGGUUUUGAGUGUUGGACUAUAACUCUAAGAGACCAGGGUUCAAAUCCCUGCUUGGUUCA